UGCACAAUAGUUAAGAGCAUAAACACUGGAACCAGAUGUCUGGGUUCGAAUCCCAGCUUUGCUA
Gorilla gorilla gorilla (western lowland gorilla) is the source of this 64-nucleotide transfer RNA. It matches the Rfam family "tRNA". From Rfam's summary of the family: Transfer RNA (tRNA) molecules are approximately 80 nucleotides in length. Their secondary structure includes four short double-helical elements and three loops (D, anti-codon, and T loops). The record is from Rfam. Lineage: Eukaryota; Metazoa; Chordata; Mammalia; Primates; Hominidae.